GACGAACGCUGGCGGCGUGCUUAACACAUGCAAGUCGAACGGAAAGGCCCUGCUUUUGUGGGGUGCUCGAGUGGCGAACGGGUGAGUAACACGUGAGUAACCUGCCCUUGACUUUGGGAUAACUUCAGGAAACUGGGGCUAAUACCGGAUAGGAGCUCCUGCUGCAUGGUGGGGGUUGGAAAGUUUCGGCGGUUGGGGAUGGACUCGCGGCUUAUCAGCUUGUUGGUGGGGUAGUGGCUUACCAAGGCUUUGACGGGUAGCCGGCCUGAGAGGGUGACCGGCCACAUUGGGACUGAGAUACGGCCCAGACUCCUACGGGAGGCAGCAGUGGGGAAUAUUGCACAAUGGGCGGAAGCCUGAUGCAGCAACGCCGCGUGCGGGAUGACGGCCUUCGGGUUGUAAACCGCUUUCGCCUGGGACGAAGCGUGAGUGACGGUAAGGGGUAAAGAAGCACCGGCUAACGACG
Molecule: ribosomal RNA, 466 nt
Filed under: uncultured bacterium
Lineage: Bacteria
Description: partial 16S ribosomal RNA
Rfam family: Bacterial small subunit ribosomal RNA
Source: RNAcentral